UAUCACAAUUGACUGUACUUUGGCUAUCUGAAAUCAAUUAUCAAACUACAAAACACCAAGGCUUAUUACUUCCAUCUUGAUUCAACACAUAAUCCAUUCUAUGACUAUCAAUUCAACAAUACUUCUCUCAAUCACAAUUCUUUAUAAGCAAAUAAUAAAAGCAAAAAAAACAAAGAGGUAGCACCAAGAUUAUCCCGACUUACGAUUCUCACAAUCUGGCUUUGAUCUCUCUUUCUUCAACCUAUUUAUCCUACCAAAAAGAUGAUCCAUGAGCGAGUAGAUUCCAAAGGUUAUGAUCCUUUGAAUUCUUAACCAUUUAUUCCACUAACAACCUACUAUUACCAACUAAAUUGCCUAACCAUCAGUCUAAUUCUCAAGGUUAUCAAUAACCAACCAGUAACUUACCACAAAGUUUAUUUAUCUAUUCUACAUAGCCCCACUCCUAAUUGUACAACGUCCUCGUAAAUAUUAUUUAGCUCCAACUUAUAAAGACGUAGCA
Molecule: long non-coding RNA, 499 nt
Filed under: Physcomitrium patens
Lineage: Eukaryota; Viridiplantae; Streptophyta; Bryopsida; Funariales; Funariaceae
Description: long non-coding RNA (PPAT_LNC009081)
Source: RNAcentral